GUAAGACGGAGACUAAAGGAGAAUUACACGGAAGGGGAGAAACCCUGGGAGACAGUGAAUCCUCGGCCGUGACAUAGAACAAGAGGAGAGGCCAAGUCUGGCCGGGAGGUGGGGGAGGGGAGCGGCGAACUAAGUCUCCGGCCAGCUCGAGUUCGGCGCAAAGGUGCUGUUCUGCCGAGAGACCGGCCCCGGCCAAGUGGCUGUUACCCAGCCGAGUGUAUGCGCGCCAGCUUCCUGCCCGGCCCCGAGCGGAGGAGCAGCCUGGGACGCUGCAGGCUCGGCCGGAAUCGCUGGGAGGCCGGGAAGCCGCGAGCAUUCACCGAGAAGUGGCACUUUGCCAUCCUGGGGAUGGAAGCGGCCUCGCUAGACCAGGCCUAAAAACCAUGAACCAAAGACACCAGCUCUAGCUCCAGAAUUAGCCACCCCUCUAUCCCGCACCACACUUCGUGGCAGCCGCACUCCGGGGGUUCCUUUCCUCCCUUCCCCCUCCUCCCCACGUUCUCCCGCUCCUGGGCCCCAUCACUGGUAAAAUGAAAGGGAAAAGGCUGUUAACAACUCUCUGUAGGAAACCUGGAAUUGGUCUUAGUCUCUGGGCUUGAUCCUUUGCACCCACUUAGUGUUGCAGGUUGCUUUGCCUCCCAGAGGAGCAAAAGGGGAAGCUUCCAGAGUUGAAGUGGUUCACAGAAAGAUGAUCCUGUAGUAAGUGAAUCCUCCAGCAAAUGUUAACGUAUAUUUAUUUUUCCAUUGAUGGUUUUAAUAUUCGCAAUCCUGGCCUCAGAGUGCAAAUGAACUCUUUAUCUGGGGGCAAGAAUUACAGUUUGCUUGAACUCACUUCCCCCCUCAUUCCCCUACUCCUUGGUUUCCCUGCUAGAUUUUCAAAACCCACUUUCUCCAGGGCUGUCUUUCUGAGAACUUUGACCCUGACCAGGGCCUAAGUCCUUGGCUAUAUCCAUGCGGUAGAGGCGAGAACGUUUUCCAUGCGUUCUCCCCUCUGACUCAGUAAUUCAGUUUGAGAACGAGAUUCUCCGCGUCUCCCUCUUCUCCUCCCCCCCCUCCCACCCCCGCCUUAACUCACUUGGUUUUUAACUUCCCCUAAAUCUCCCUUCUUGCUCAGAAAGGCACAGAGGAGGGGAAACCGAGAGGAAACACGCUGCCGCUGUGCGAAAUGCGGACCAUGUGUGGGAACGAUCCAGUCAAAGUGAUGAGCUAUGGAGGCUGCCGAAGUAAUAUCAGCAGUAGUGAGAUUAAGCUAAAGGAUACACUCUAGUUUACAGAGCUGAGGCAGCGGCCUAGGGUGAAAGAGCAAAAGGCCCUCUUUUCGACAGUUCAGAGGCUAGAAGGUUAUAGCAGCUUGAGUAUCAACAAAGGGAGACUGGGAAGAGAGAAGAGCCAGGGAAUGGAAGAUGAGCCACUGGGAGAGGAAGAGGGGGCAGCUGCUAAGAGCUCUCUGGCUGCUGUGG
RNAcentral lists this long non-coding RNA (1460 nucleotides) under Sarcophilus harrisii (Tasmanian devil). Its description in RNAcentral is "lncRNA (ENSSHAG00000024284.1)". The record is from RNAcentral. Lineage: Eukaryota; Metazoa; Chordata; Mammalia; Dasyuromorphia; Dasyuridae.